GACGAACCGUGCGAACGUUAUUCGGAAUCACUGGGCUUAAAGCGCGUGUAGGCGGGACGGUGCGUCGGCCGCUGAAAUCCCCCGGCUCAACCGGGGAAGGGGCGCCGAUACGACCGCCCUGGAGCGACGUAGGGGGAACUGGAAUUCUUGGUGUAGCGGUGAAAUGCGUAGAUAUCAAGAGGGACACCUGCGGCGAAGGCGGGUUGCUGGGCCGACACUGACGCUGAGGCGCGAAAGCCAGGGGAGCGAACGGG
This 254-nucleotide ribosomal RNA is filed under the name uncultured bacterium. RNAcentral describes it as "partial 16S ribosomal RNA". It matches the Rfam family "Bacterial small subunit ribosomal RNA", at positions 524 to 776 of the family's 1533-position model. The record is from RNAcentral.